RNAcentral lists this ribosomal RNA (425 nucleotides) under uncultured bacterium. RNAcentral's name for it is "bacterial SSU rRNA". It matches the Rfam family "Bacterial small subunit ribosomal RNA", at positions 355 to 796 of the family's 1533-position model. The record is from RNAcentral.
UUGGGAAUCUUGCACAAUGGGGGAAACCCUGAUGCAGCGACGCCGCGUGGAGGACGAAGGGUCUAGGCUCGUAAACUCCUUUUUUCGGGAAAGACUUAGGACGGUACCCGAAGAAUAAGCACCGGCUAACUACGUGCCAGCAGCCGCGGUAAGACGUAGGGUGCAAGCGUUGUCCGGAUUUACUGGGCGUAAAGAGCGCGUAGGCGGCUCGUUAAGUGAGAAGUGAAAGCUCUUGGCUCAACCAAGAAACCGCUUUUCAUACUGGCGAGCUAGAGUGAUGCAGAGGUGGAUAGAAUUCCCGGUGUAGCGGUGAAAUGCGUUGAUAUCGGGAGGAAUACCCGUGGCGAAGGCGGUCCACUGGGCAUCAACUGACGCUGAGGCGCGAAAGCGUGGGUAGCAAACAGGAUUAGAUACCCCCGUAGUCC